RNAcentral lists this ribosomal RNA (257 nucleotides) under uncultured bacterium. RNAcentral's name for it is "partial 16S ribosomal RNA". It matches the Rfam family "Bacterial small subunit ribosomal RNA", at positions 335 to 592 of the family's 1533-position model. The record is from RNAcentral.
GGCCCUACGGGACGCAGCAGUGGGGAAUAUUGCACAAUGGGGGAAACCCUGAUGCAGCGACGCCGCGUGAGUGAAGAAGUAUUUCGGUAUGUAAAGCUCUAUCAGCAGGGAAGAAACACACCCUUUGGGGUGGCUGACGGUACCUGACUAAGAAGACACGGCUAACUACGUGCCAGCAGCCGCGGUAAUACGUAGGGGGCAAGCGUUAUCCGGAUUUACUGGGUGUAAAGGGAGCGUAGGUGGCAAGGCGAGUCAGA